This 409-nucleotide ribosomal RNA is filed under the name bacterium. RNAcentral's name for it is "partial 16S ribosomal RNA". It matches the Rfam family "Bacterial small subunit ribosomal RNA", at positions 355 to 776 of the family's 1533-position model. The record is from RNAcentral. RNAcentral also lists the same sequence under 2 other names.
UGGGGAAUAUUGCGCAAUGGACGAAAGUCUGACGCAGCAACGCCGCGUGAGGGAUGACGGCCUUCGGGUUGUAAACCUCUUUCAGCAGGGACGAAGCGAGAGUGACGGUACCUGCAGAAGAAGGACCGGCCAACUACGUGCCAGCAGCCGCGGUAAUACGUAGGGUCCGAGCGUUGUCCGGAAUUAUUGGGCGUAAAGGGCUCGUAGGCGGUUCGUCACGUCGGGAGUGAAAACUCGGGGCUUAACCCCGAGCCUGCUUCCGAUACGGGCAGACUAGAGGUAGGCAGGGGAGAGCGGAACUCCUGGUGUAGCGGUGGAAUGCGCAGAUAUCAGGAAGAACACCGGUGGCGAAGGCGGCUCUCUGGGCCUUACCUGACGCUGAGGAGCGAAAGCGUGGGUAGCGAACAGG